RNAcentral lists this ribosomal RNA (534 nucleotides) under uncultured bacterium. Its description in RNAcentral is "partial 16S ribosomal RNA". It matches the Rfam family "Bacterial small subunit ribosomal RNA", at positions 355 to 883 of the family's 1533-position model. The record is from RNAcentral.
UGGGGAAUUUUGGACAAUGGGCGAAAGCCUGAUCCAGCAAUGCCGCGUGUGUGAAGAAGGCCUUCGGGUUGUAAAGCACUUUUUGUCCGGGAAAGAAAUCCUUGGCUCUAAUACAGUCGGGGGAUGCGGUACCGGAAGAAUAAGCACCGGCUAACUACGUGCCAGCAGCCGCGGUAAUACGUAGGGUGCAAGCGUUAAUCGGAAUUACUGGGCGUAAGCGUGCGCAGGCGGUUUGCUAAGACCGAUGUGAAAUCCCCGGGCUCAACCUGGGAACUGCAUUGGUGACUGGCAGGCUAGAGUAUGGCAGAGGGGGGUAGAAUUCCACGUGUAGCAGUGAAAUGCGUAGAGAUGUGGAGGAAUACCGAUGGCGAAGGCAGCCCCCUGGGCCAAUACUGACGCUCAUGCACGAAAGCGUGGGGAGCAAACAGGAUUAGAUACCCUGGUAGUCCACGCCCUAAACGAUGUCAACUAGUUGUUGGGGAUUCAUUCCUUAGUAACGUAGCUAACGCGUGAAGUUGACCGCCUGGGGAGUAC